GUCUGUGGGAUAGCUCAGUUGGUAGAGCAUAAGGUUCUUCAUCUCAAGGCCGUGGGUUCAAGCCCCACCUUGGGCA
Podarcis lilfordi (Lilford's wall lizard) is the source of this 76-nucleotide non-coding RNA. The record is from the annotation of a GenBank genome assembly. NCBI's taxonomy places the organism in Eukaryota, Metazoa, Chordata, Lepidosauria, Squamata, Lacertidae.